This 1872-nucleotide ribosomal RNA is filed under the name Triticum aestivum (bread wheat). Its description in RNAcentral is "partial small subunit ribosomal RNA". The record is from RNAcentral. Lineage: Eukaryota; Viridiplantae; Streptophyta; Magnoliopsida; Poales; Poaceae.
AUGGCGUCCCUCUUCAGGGCUCGCCGGCGGCGAUCGCCGGAGGACGAAGGGGACGACGGCGAAGGAUCCGGAUCCGGGCGGGGCAAGCGCCGCCGCCUCUCGCCGGAGGAGGGCGCGCUGGUGCCGGCGGAGGGGGGCAGGAGCCCCGGGUGGCUCUCCACCAUCGUCACCGGGGCCAAGCGGGUCAUAUCCUCCGUGCUCUUCUCCUCGUCCGAGGAGCAGGCCUCCGGGGACGAGGAGGAGGAGGAGGAGGAGGACGGCUCCGAGCAGGACUCCGAUGGAAACGAAGAUACCCGUGAUACUCAUGGAAAAAUAGUUCCUUACAGCGAGUCAAAGCUUGCCAUUGAGGAAAUGGUUUUGAAGGAAACAUUUUCAAGGGAUGAAUGUGAUAAGAUGGUAAAGCUAUUACAGUCACGUGUUACAGAUUCAGCAUUUCCUGAAGCCUAUGAGCAUGGGACACCAAAAGAAACCCCAAGAAGGAAUGGCCAUGAUUUUACUGGAGCUUGGCGUUCCUUGAAUCGCAAUAGAAAUGGCCCUGGGUCAGGUCCAUUUUUUAGUACCGGACCUGGUAACUUUUCUCCUGGCUCUCCUCUCCAAGCAUCACCUGAGCUAUGUAGUGCAGCAGUUAUGGAAGCAAAGAAAUGGUUGGAAGAGAAAAGGCAGGGAUUAGGCUCAAAGCCUGAAGAUCAUGGACCUUGCACAUUGAACACUGAUGUGCUUAAUGCUGACCUCAAAUCUGACAAGGGUUCUCCUGUCGAUUUAGCAAAAUCAUACAUGCAGUCAUUGCCACCAUGGCAGUCCCCUUUAUUAGGCAGUCGGAGAUUUAAAUCUCCACCCUCCGGUGGAGUACAUAUUAAUGAUGAAGAAGGAUCCAAAUACUUCUCAUCAUCGAAGGUCGACACCAAGGAAGACUUCCUUUCCAGUUCCAACUUCUGGGAGAACUUUGAUAUGCGAAGAGAUCACAUUAGAUUUUCUGAAACUGCAGAAGCUUCUAAGUCGAGGCCUCAUGGUUCUACUUCCAGAUUGUUUGAUAAUGGUGUCUCUAUACUCUCGCCAGGUACUCGUGAUGAAGUUGGACAGCCUGUACAGGGUUAUGAAGGUUCUGAUAAAGUUGCUGCAGCAGAACCAGCCAAUGAGUGCUCCUUACCUAUUUCACCAACUAAAGAUGGAAACCAUGGUGCUGUUGAUUCUGUGGAUCCUGCACCGAAUGACAGUGGCAAUCUUGUCCAAGAAUGCCAUGCUGCAUCUGAUGUUCAUCCUGAUGAGGUACCACAGGGGAAUGCAGAUGAGGUACCACAUGGGAACCCUGUGCCUCUCACAAGUGCUACGGAAGAGGCUGCCGACCACAGUGGAGAUAAAUCUGUGCCCGCAGAACCAGAAAUUCACGAAGAAUUGCAUAUGAACUCAACUUCAGCUGCUACUGUUCACGCUUAUGAUGGCUUUGCUGAUUAUGGAACUGUUCCAGAAUCAAGAGCAAAGGAUGCAGCCCCCCAGAUCCGGAUGAGUUUGCGUUCCCUAAAGAAAAAGGUCCACACGAGUUUAAAUGCGCCUACCAAGAAAAUCUCCGCCAACGGUCUUUUGGAUCGGUCAGACGGCAACUCAGGGAUAGAAUCCUCGGGCAAUGAUAAUCCCAGCUGCACUAACUCGAGCAGUGCUGUGCCUCCCAACAAUAAUGAGUUGAUCAACUCUGCAGCUGAUGCUUCAGCUGAUAACUCCGUCGAUAAUGGCGCGAGAACGGUUUCAGAGAAACAGGCGGAUGGUAAGUCUGUCGAAAACGGCGCUGGGAAGGAUUCAGUUGAACCAGUAAAGGAAGACCCUAAGCCAACUUACGUCAGACGUGGCCGGAAAAGGGCUGCUCGGAGGGCAUCAUGA